Molecule: RNase P RNA, 446 nt
Filed under: Rubripirellula lacrimiformis
Lineage: Bacteria; Pseudomonadati; Planctomycetota; Planctomycetia; Pirellulales; Pirellulaceae
Description: Bacterial RNase P class A
Rfam family: Bacterial RNase P class A
About the family: Ribonuclease P (RNase P) is a ubiquitous endoribonuclease, found in archaea, bacteria and eukarya as well as chloroplasts and mitochondria. Its best characterised activity is the generation of mature 5'-ends of tRNAs by cleaving the 5'-leader elements of precursor-tRNAs.
Source: Rfam by way of RNAcentral
CGAGCGGGUGGGGCGAUCGCUGGCGAUACGAGUUGUCGCUGGAGGAAAGUCCGGGCUCCGCAGGACAGGAUGGUCGAUAACGUCGACCGGCCGCGAGGUUAGGGAAAGUGCAGCAGAGAAUAGACCGCCGAACGGCAUGUUGGUCACCUCGGUGGCUGAUCAUGUGCGUGGUAAGGGUGAAACGGUGCGGUAAGAGCGCACCAGCGACCGAGGUGACUCGGUCGGCUUGGUAAACCCCAUCCGGAGCUAGACCAAACAGAACGAAGCAGUGGUCGGUGGCUUGCCACCCGCCAUUCACGUGGCGGUCCGUCACGUCCCUACGUUCGGGUAGGUCGCAGUAGAGGCGGCGAGCAAUCGUCGUGCACAGAUAAAUGAUCGUCGUUGUCGUGCGUCGCCCUCGGGUGGCGUCGACUUCACAGAACCCGGCUUACAAACCCGCUCGUCGU